Podarcis lilfordi (Lilford's wall lizard) is the source of this 785-nucleotide non-coding RNA. The record is from the annotation of a GenBank genome assembly. Lineage: Eukaryota; Metazoa; Chordata; Lepidosauria; Squamata; Lacertidae.
UGGCCUUUGGCUCAAAAAUGUGUAAAGUUAUUUCCUUUCGUUUUCCAGAUUGCUGUUUCUGUCAUGGUAUGCAUGACAUCCCUGCAUUGCAGGGGGUUGGACUAGAUGACCCUGGAGGUCCCUUCCUACUCUGCAGUGAUUCUGCAUCUCAUCUGAUGGUUUCAGUCCCUCCCCUGGUCUUUGAGAGAACUCUAAACAAAUGUACAGGAUGAGUCCUUUGAAAGAGGCCCCGUGGAUACAGAGUAAAAGACACCCUGUACAUGCCAGUGUGAGAAAUGAUUGUGUGAACUGCCGGUGCUUUUUAAAUGGGUGGCUUCGCUUUGUCAUAUUUGUCGUAUUUAUCAGUUAGCAAGAUGGCAUUUUAAAGUAUUUAACCCCCAUUCUAUAAGCUGCCUUGAAAGGUCACCUAGCUCAGGGAGACAGCAUAGAAAUUGAUUAAAUAAAUAAAAUACAGCUAACACCAGUAGAGGUGAUACGUGAUUGUUCUAAACAUUAUUGACCCUGAUUUAGAAAGCUUACCUUGCUGGCUAAGAAAUUGUGUAUGCAGUUUAGAUACAAACGUGCAAUUUGAUUUGCAGCCCCCAGUGUCACAUGUGGUAAACACACUCACCCAAGUCAUAUAGAAAGAAGAGGCGGAGGUCCAAUUCUAGAAGCAAAAGGUGGGCACUUCUACUCUGUGCAUCCCAUUUGCUGUUAAAGUCAGACCUCUAAUUUUGCAAAUGAUACAGAGCUGCAAGGGAGCUGUGAUGUAGGUAGCCAAGUUUGUUGAAGAUACCAGAUUUUUC